Long non-coding RNA from Mirounga angustirostris (Northern elephant seal), 325 nucleotides. RefSeq lists it as uncharacterized. The transcript has 2 exons. NCBI's taxonomy places the organism in Eukaryota, Metazoa, Chordata, Mammalia, Carnivora, Phocidae. The record is from RefSeq and is a predicted model, not a curated record.
AUGUUAAAACAGAAUCCUUGAAAGAAACAGUGGAUGCUUCCAGACUUCUAUUUUUUUUUUGAAAGAAUACAAGCUACAAUUUUUUAAACAUCAGUAUAAUACUCCAUAUAUUAAACCAUCUGAAAUAAGAGUUCUCAUUACUUAUGAACAUCUAAAGACUAGAAAACUUUCAUCUUUAUUUCCAUUUUGGUCCUAAAAAGCAUUCUAAAGUAAAAUUCAAGGACCCAGGGCAACUUGAUCGCCUGCAGGUAUGAAUCUGUACAGUAGAGAGAAACCUCCAGGUUGUACACCUAUUGACAUUGCUUAAUAAAAACAUCUAGGAAAA